RNAcentral lists this ribosomal RNA (579 nucleotides) under uncultured bacterium. RNAcentral's name for it is "bacterial SSU rRNA". It matches the Rfam family "Bacterial small subunit ribosomal RNA", at positions 240 to 812 of the family's 1533-position model. The record is from RNAcentral.
AUUAGCUAGUUGGUGAGGUAAAGGCUUACCAAGGCGACGAUCGGUAGCUGGUCUGAGAGGAUGAUCAGCCACACUGGGACUGAGACACGGCCCAGACUCCUACGGAGGCAGCAGUAGGGAAUCUUCCGCAAUGGGCGAAAGCCUGACGGAGCAACGCCGCGUGAAUGAAGACGGUCUUCGGAUUGUAAAGUUCUGUCAUUUGGGACGAGCGACCUUGAGAGGAAAUGCUCGAGGUGAGACGGUACCAAAGGAGGAAGCCCCGGCUAACUACGUGCCAGCAGCCGCGGUAAUACGUAGGGGGCAAGCGUUGUCCGGAAUGACUGGGCGUAAAGCGCGCGCAGGCGGUCUUUCGCGUCUGGGGUGAAAGGUCAGGGCUCAACCCUGACAUGGCCUUGGAAACGGGGAGACUUGAGGGUCGGAGAGGUCAGGGGAAUUCCACGUGUAGCGGUGAAAUGCGUAGAUAUGUGGAGGAAUACCAGUGGGGAAGGCGCCUGACUGGACGAAACCUGACGCUGAGGCGCGAAGGCGUGGGGAGCAAACAGGAUUAGAUACCCUGGUAGUCCACGCGGUAAACGAUGA